ACACCCGGAAGUAACCAAAGUCGCUCACAGCAGAUGGGAUUUCAAUCUGUCCCUGAAACAGAAACAUGGCAGCUACAUUAUGUCAUACAAUGAUGUGAAACCUGUAUGGUUAUGCAUCAGGUAUUGCGAAGAUUGUUCGGUAACGGUACUUGCCAAUUUCGGGAGUAGCUCAUGCUUCUUUGACAGAGCCUCUCUGAUCUGCUGCAGCUGAGCCUCCCUGUCGGCUUCGCCAUGCCACUGGUGGUGGACGCUGUGUGGGCGCUAUGGAGCAUCGGAGCUGGCAUCUAUGACUACUUCCACACCAGUGCCAUGGAGGAGAGGAUCCACACUCUGGAAAACGUCCUCUCCAUCCACCAGUUUGUGAUCGCAGCCCUGUCAGCGGGCCUCAUCCUGCUCAUGACCUACAUACUAUGGAGAAAACACUGAAACCCUGUUGACCUAAGCGCCCACUAGAUGCAGUUUUGUCGCAUGAUAUCUCAACCCUGAUGUUGGCCAGAAUGAUAAUUUGGAUUAUAUGACUGCCUACACUUGAAGAUCAAGCAUGUUCAGUGACAAUCAAGACAUCCCAAAUGAGGUCUGGAGCACCGAUGGGCGACUAAACGGAGCAACAAAGCUCUUUAAAGACUCGACCAGCAUGCAGUCUCUGAAAACUCGUCUGAUUGUCGUCAACUUUCUCUGAUGUAAAACACUGGAUUUGGUACAGAAGCCAAGUGCGACUGUGUUUGCUACUAAGAGUUUUAACCUGUUCUCACAAGAUCACAACGUGAUUGCCUCAAGAUCCGCUGCUUUGUCGUAACACAACGGUCAUAACGUAACGUUCUCUGUAAUUUCUGCUCUGCUUUUAUCUGAGACAACUCUUUCUCUCAAAGCUGAGCGGAACAAUUGCAUCUUUAUCUUAGACUAUUAGAUAAAAUGUGAUAAUUAAAUUGUGAUCUUGAGACAGCAGGCUUAAAAAUUAUUAACAAUGACUUUAUCCAGCACUACAAUUUCAUAUGUAAAUCGGGUAUAAUUGUGUGACCUGUAAUGGAUUUUAAUGAGUUGGGGAAGCCAACAUGUGACUCCCAGAAAGUUGGUGUCGGGCCAUGAUGUCGCAGGGGCACAUGGCGAGUGCUCUGCUGGGAGUGUGAGGCUGUAGUCAAACUGGGCUGAAUUCAGCACUUCUUGUUUGCACUGUUACAGAUUCACUGUUAAAGAUUAUAAUCAAAGCAGAGAUUUAAAAACAAACAUAUGCCUUGUGUGGUCUGUAAUUAUCCUGGUUAUCAAGUUGGAACAACUGGAUAAGCAGAAAAACACUCUUAAGGAGUUCAUAAUGUAUUGUAUUUUAUUUCAUGCUGAGGAGAAGAGAUUGGAGAUGUAGGUUAUUUAUUUAAUGUUAGCUAGUGUUUUAAAAAAGCAGAUUUUGUGUGUGUUUAAUUUGUCCAUGUUUACAUUUUUAACAACACUGUUUCCAGUCUGUCUUUCAAGUUUUUCUGCGUUAAAAAAAGGUCUAAUGAUUUAAUCAAGCAUCGGUCACUUUCUCUACUGUACCUGCUUGCUGGGGUUCUAUCUGGGCAGGUUGUACUGUACUGUAUGUACUACAGUGUGUUACUCUUGACAAACCACUACCAUGGCCACUAUCAAAGGGAAUAUGUUUGAAUAAUAAAUCAUAAUUUAAGUCCAAGCUUUA
This is a long non-coding RNA of Micropterus salmoides (largemouth bass), 1666 nucleotides long. RefSeq lists it as uncharacterized. NCBI's taxonomy places the organism in Eukaryota, Metazoa, Chordata, Actinopteri, Centrarchiformes, Centrarchidae. The transcript has 2 exons. The record is from RefSeq and is a predicted model, not a curated record.